This 578-nucleotide ribosomal RNA is filed under the name uncultured bacterium. RNAcentral's name for it is "bacterial SSU rRNA". It matches the Rfam family "Bacterial small subunit ribosomal RNA", at positions 338 to 916 of the family's 1533-position model. The record is from RNAcentral.
CCUACGGGAGGCAACAGUAAGGAAUAUUGGUCAAUGGACGCAGGUCUGAACCAGCCAUGCCGCGUGCAGGAUGACGGCCCUCUGGGUUGUAAACUGCUUUUAUAGGGGACGAAAAAAGGGCUUUCUAGCUCGUCUGACGGUACCCUAGGAAUAAGCACCGGCUAACUCCGUGCCAGCAGCCGCGGUAAUACGGAGGGUGCAAGCGUUAUCCGGAUUUACUGGGUUUAAAGGGUGCGUAGGUGGGUCGGUAAGUCAGCGGUGAAAUCUUCGAGCUUAACUCGGAAACUGCCAUUGAUACUAUCGAUCUUGAAUCAUCUGGAGGUAAGCGGAAUAUGUCAUGUAGCGGUGAAAUGCUUAGAUAUGACAUAGAACACCAAUUGCGAAGGCAGCUUACUACGGAUGCAUUGACACUGAGGCACGAAAGCGUGGGGAUCAAACAGGAUUAGAUACCCUGGUAGUCCACGCCCUAAACGAUGGAUACUCGACAUUUGAGAUAUACUUUAAGUGUCUGAGCGAAAGCAUUAAGUAUCCCACCUGGGAAGUACGAUCGCAAGAUUGAAACUCAAAUGAAUUGACGG